GACCACGGCCGCACCACCCUGAACACGCCCGAUCCCGUCUGAUCUCGGAAGCUGAGCAGGGUCGGGCCUGGUGAGCACUUGGUAUGGGAGACCACCUAGGAAGACCAGGUGCUGUAAGCG
This 120-nucleotide ribosomal RNA is filed under the name Pteropus alecto (black flying fox). Lineage: Eukaryota; Metazoa; Chordata; Mammalia; Chiroptera; Pteropodidae. The record is from RNAcentral.